Mirounga angustirostris (Northern elephant seal) is the source of this 13099-nucleotide long non-coding RNA. RefSeq lists it as uncharacterized. NCBI's taxonomy places the organism in Eukaryota, Metazoa, Chordata, Mammalia, Carnivora, Phocidae. The transcript has 4 exons. The record is from RefSeq and is a predicted model, not a curated record.
GGCUGCUGGGGCGGGGUGGGGAGAGGUCAGCUGGCUAGGGGAGUCCAUCCACAGCCCUCCAGCAUGCCUUCUGGGAAAGGACGAGGAGUACCCGCGAUCCCCUUAGCCCGUGGCUUUACAUAUCCCCAUCCUAGGACAGGACACAUGUUCAUCUGUACAAGUGAGAGAAGAGCAUGAGCACCAAGGAAGACUUUAUUGUUUAUAAAUAAGAGAGCGAGCGAGAGAGAAACAGCAUGAGAGGGGAGAGGGUCAGAGGGAGAAGCAGGCUCCCCGCCGAGCCAGGAGCCCGAUGUGGGACUCGAUCCCAGGACCCUGGGAUCAUGACCUGAGCCGAAGGCAGACGCUCAACCAUCUGAGCCACCCAGGCGCCCGUCGAAAGGAAUGAAAUUCUGACACAUGGUACAACAUGGAAGAAUCUUGAGGACAUUAUGCUAAGUGAAAUAAGCCAGGUUCGUGGAGGCGAGGAUGUCCAAAAUCAAGGUGCCAGCACACGUGGUGUCUGGUGAGGUCCUACUUUCUGGCUUGUAGACAGCUGCCUUCUUGCUGUAUCCUCGCGUGGCUAAGAGAAAAAUUGUCUUUCUCCUGUCUCUUCUCAUAAGAACACAAAUCCCGUUCAUGAGGGCUCCAGCCUCAGGACCGAAUUACCUCCCAAAAGACCCACUUCCAAAUGCCCUGAUAGUGGGGAUUUAGGCUUCAGCAUAUGAAUUUGGGGGACACAAACAUUCAGCCCAUAGCAAACCACAAUUGAAAAAUUAGAAUAUAUUUAUCAGAUUAAUAAAAAUUGUCAUUCUUGAAAUGUCUUUCUGUAGAGUUCCAGGAGUGUAGACUUUGUCCUCAAUGAUACGAGGGGAUGUGAACUAACUGAAGCAAGUGAUAUUUUGCCAGAAGUGUAGGAGGGACCAGUUCUAGAAGACAAUCAGAAAUGUCAAAGAGCAAUUCCUGGGUAGAAAGAAAAAGAGAAUGUCUAUAACUGAGAAGGUGACCCUAAUGAGGUGUCUAUUCCUCCAGAGACUCAGAUUCCUUUAUUUACAUCCUUCUAGAAGCUCAGGGGGAGAGUGUGUGUUUCCCAGCUUGAACAGAACCCUUCCUACUUCUGUUAAAGCAAGCAUUCAUACAAUGCACUCCAAAACAAAAUAGAACUAUAGUUAAGCAACAAAAAAACAAAAACAAAAACAAACAAAAAAACAGUUUAAAAAUACAUGCGUGUUUGAAGUAAUUACGAAGAAUUUCAAAAGCUGAAUAAAAGAGAAAAGCAACCCAAGAUCAGAACAAAGCCUUUGGGAGCUCUAACAGGAAAAUAUGUGUAUCAUUGUUAAGUGCCAAAGUAAAUACAGCACACAAACCCAAAGCUUAUCUGUGUGGUUUCCAUAGUGUCAAUAUAUAUGCAAAGCUGGUCUGACGCACUGAGACCCAUCAAAGGUCAUGGAAGUAAAAACAAAAGUCAAACUGUCUAUGUGAACCUUUGGCAAGCGAGUGCCAGGGUUCCUGGACAUUUUCUCAUUUCUAGAGAAGUGAGCGAGAGGUGGCAGUAAUGUUCUUUUCCUUUCUCUCUCUCUCAAUCUCUCUUUCUCUCUGUCACCCCCCUCCCUCUUUUCCUCCUUUCCGUUCUCCCUCCCUCAUGAAUUAAAGCAUUAUUUUCCUUGAGUCCCAGGAAAUGAAAUUCAAAUUUACAGUGAAAGGUUACUAAUGAAAGAGAUGAUCCAUCUUUUUAAUAUAUAUGUAUUUUCAUGUAUAAUUGCACUAUAGUUAAAAUGAGAGCUAGUUUCUUUAAAAUUGACCUGUUUUUUUUGGGGGGGGGGAAUAAAUACGCACUCUUUUCAAUUUUCCUUCUGCUUGUCAAAUCAAAAUAGCUUCAGAUAAAUGAAUAACACAAGAAUGUCCGCCGUAGCCACGCAGAAUCAGGAUGAGAGGAAGAGCACAUCAUGCAUUUUUCUUUGUCGUGCUACAGUUUAGGGGCACAGAUUAGGAGGCUAUUGAAAUGUUAGGUGGAUGUGGGUGACAAAUUAUAUUCGUUGAAAAAGUAGCUACACUCAGUGGGAUGAAUUUGCUUUGGUAUUUAGAAGUUUAAAUAGCAGCUGUGGACUGAGGAUAGUUUUUGGUUUGGUUUUGGGUUUUGCUUUUGUUUUUUUACUUUUUUUAAGAGACCGUAGGGAUUUACUGCUUGCUUAAAGGUCAUGAUUUAUUUAUUUAUUUAUUUACUUAUUUAUUUUUAGGUAGGCUCUAUGCCCAAUGUGGGGCUUGAACUCACAACCCCGAGAUCAAGAGUCGCAUGCUCUACCGACUGAGCCAGCCAGGCUCCCCUGGUUUUUUGGUUUGUUUUUGUUUUUGUUUUUGUUUUUCUCGAGUAGAAAAGUAUGGAAAUGAAGCAGUGAGUUUAUUCUGUAAUCUUUUCUUAAAUUAUGACUAUAUGCUGUGCACUCUGCCAGGUACAGUUGUGAGUUAUUUGAAGUUCACAUCUGUUGAGUAAUUUCCCCAAGGUCUUGCUGCUAAUCAAUAACAGAAUAUAGACUUUGUAGUUCAAAAGUCCAUGCUUUUAGCUCCUAUCCUACGUUACCUUUUAAUGCCAUUUGUUAACAGGGCAGUGUUCUGCAUCGUGCGUCCCUGUAUCUGGACUUCUCCCUCACACCUGACUCUCGGACCCUAUGUGUAAGGAGGGUUCCCAGCACUGGUGACUUCCUGACUACUACCACUACAGCUAAUAGUUCUGCUCCUAUUAAAUACUACUAAUAAUAACGAUGAUAAUUGAUAAUUGAUAGUGUUCUCCCAGUACUUACUAUAUGACUGAAACUCUGCCAAGAACUUUGUGAGAAGAAAAGAACUUUGUGAGCUUUAUUUCAAUUAAUAUUUUCAGUGGUUCUUGAAGGGAUAUGCUCUGGAAUAGACUCCUCUGGGGUUAGAUCUUAGUCCCUUUAUUUAUUAGCUGUGUGACCAUGGACAAGUUAUUUAACUUUCCUGCCUCUUCACUUCCGCAUCUGUAAGAUGGAAAUAAUAAAAAUAUCUAAGAGAGCUGUUGGGAAAAUUAAGCAAUAUAGAGAAAUAGCCAGUAUACUUAAUCCAUACUGACUACAAAUUAUUGGUAUUAAUACAAAUACUAUUAAUAAUUUCAUCCAUCUGUAAAAACCCUGCCAUGUUUAUAUAGCCCAGCUAUGAGGCCUCUUGUCUUCGUGUCCCCCUUUUUUAAAAAAUUCCAGUUCCCUGCCUAGAACUGAAACCUACUAUGGACACUUGUCCAAUGGCUGGAUCUUUAGUACUCUGUGCUCUGUUCCUGGGAACUGGAUCUUGUCCCCCACAUCAUCAACUGCUGGCUGGGAUGCUACUUCCCACUCACUUCCACUCACUUCCAAUGCAGCCAGGAUGAGCUAUCACCUGAUUUUUAAUAUCUCCAUUGCUACCAUAUCCCAGGAAAAUUAGACCCCCUUAGCUCUGUCUUUGAUCCAGGCUCUAGUCCAACAUGAUUCUUUACUAACUCCAGUUUAAACUGCUGAGUGUCUCCUGUCUUGCUCAAUGCUGCUUCUUGCUCUUCCCUGCUAGCUAUCUUUAAAAUUAUAGUACCCCUUGAGGUCAAACUCACCUAAGAUUCAGCAUGUAGUAUUAUAGUUAUAGAGGAGUCAACAAUGAAAAUACACAGUCCUGUCCUGAAAGAACUUAUGAUCCUUAUAAAAUAGAAAAAAAUAGAAGACAUAGCUUAUAUGCCCCCUUGGAUGCCACAGGCCUUGCCUGCCCUGCAUUCCAGGCCAUCAGCUCCUCCAUGAAAACUUCUAUGGGAUACCCACUCUAUGUCUCACAUGAUUCUCCUGUGCAGAGUGGACUAAUUGCUUGUCCAAGAAUAUUGGCCUUUCACUUUGGUUACUACUGUGUAGCCAGGUAACCAGCCGUAUGUCCAGAGUCUCUGGCUGCUUCUCUCAUUUAUGGGCUUAGAUGAAACACUUCAUCACGGGGCAUGGGAUUUGGCUUCCUUAUCAGUCAGAUGCUAUAUCCAGAAGUAUAGGAUCCUAAACCAGUGGAAGCCGGGAGACCAGAGGGAGCCAAAUUGAUCAAUUCUUUCUCCUCUUUCCUUCCCAUCCAUUCUCAGGCACAGUUUCCCAGUGUGGCAGAACAGGUAAAACUUGUGAGUGAUUGUCUCAGUCUCUCCAUGGCUUAUUAUGAAGUAGUGACAAGCGUGGUGAUCUUGUGUUACUUACCCUUUUCACACUUACCUUCUUUCUCUCUCACUCUCACUACGCUGGGAUUGUACCUCCCAUACAAAGUUAAUCACUUAAUUCAUGCAUCAGGCUCUGCUUUUGAGGAAUAAAUGGACCCCAGAGCUCCAAAAUUUGAGACUCUUGAGCCAAAGAAUGAAAGGAGAGACAUUAAGCCUAAAAGAAGAAAAGACAUAGAAUAAGCAGGGUUCUUGGUGUUCUUUCUGAUACCUCAUCAUCUUUCUCUAACACAAAUCUCUCUCACUACAAAUUCUUCCUCCCCCAAUACACACCACACCCUACUAUAACUAAAAUUGUUUUGCCUUUAGGGUUAACAUUUAACUCAGCAUUUCCCUUCCACUAAAUGUUUUGCCUAAAAGGAAAAAAAAUCCCUUUAACUGUUGAUAAAUCCUUUCAUUCCACAAUUAGAGAUAAGAAACUUAAAAAUACAAAUAUCUGAAUCAGUCUUAGCUAGAAAAGAUGAUAUCACAUUCAUUCCUGUUUUGAUGGGGGAGGAGAAUUGCAGGGCAAAAAGGCAGUGGGCCCUUGGAAGGGGACAGAGCAGCCUGGAGGCAGGACAGAUGACCUUAUCCAAUUAUGCAAUUCAUUCACGGCUCUGCACUGCUCAUCUUCAUCUGAGAAUAAGCAAAGGAAAGCCGGGCAUAGCAGUCCUGUGGGGACGUACAUAGGCAGACUAUAAUGGAAACUAUGAUCAGAUAAUAAGCUUAAGCAGAGAUCUAAUCCAUGAUAGAAUAUUUAUUAAAAAUGGACAGAAUUCUAUAUGGAAUGUCAACUGGAUUAAAUAAGGGAAUUGUAACUCUGGGUAUUAUGGAACUGAAUGAGCAUUAUAGUUCAAAUUUUGUUGCAGUGAAUGUUAUUUCCUUUAUUGAAGAAAAUCUAAAUCGAAUUUUGGGGUGAUAGGCCGUCCAUUUAAAAUCAAGUUUGUUACACUUUAUCAGGAUAGGAUCUUAAAGUUCAUUGUAUAAGGUGUCGUCCAUAGGGGUGUGAAAUACUACAGAGGAAGAUCAAUAAGAACUGGCGAUGUUUGAGGUAAAAAAUUACAGUCCUAUGCAAUUCCCCAGCAUGGCUUUUAAGAUCAAGUUCUCCAUAUGUACCACAAAAUAUUACUUUCCUCACUUUGUUGAGUGCCCUUGUUUGCCUUUGAUGUUUCAGUUAUGUCACCAUUUUGAACAAGGUCAUCAGUGUAUUAGUGUCGUUCCUUAAGCCUAUGCAUGUUGUAGCUAUUUAAUAUCACAAAAAUCCCUGUCCUAAUUAAUCCUUUUAGUUAUAUCAUAUUUCUCAAACAUUUGGGUAUUUAGUUAACUUUAGUUAACCUAACAGUCAGAAGAAGAGCAUAUGCCUGCAUCCUAUGAGUGUGUUCCAUGAAAGAAGAGGAACCUAUUCAUGACAGUUAAAAGCUCCCCAUAGUCCCAUAAGCUAAUUAAAAUAAAAUAGAGUCACACUGGGCGCCUGGGUGGCUCAGUCGUUAAGCGUCUGCCUCGGCUCAGGUCAUGAUCCCAGGGUCCCGGGAUCGAGUCCCACAUCGGGCUCCCUGCUCCGCGGGGAGCCUGCUUCUCCCUCUCCCACUCCCCCUGCUUGUGUUCCCUCUCUCACUGUCUCUCUCUCUGUUGAAAAAUAAAUAAAAUCUUAAAAAAAAAAAAAAAAGAAAUAGAGUCACACUUAGUAGCAAUAACAGAUUAAUAUUUGAUUGAAAAUAACUUUUUAGGGGUGCCUGGGUGGCUCUGUCACUUAAGACUCUGACUCUUGGUUUCGGCUCAGGUCAUGAUCUCAGGGUUACGGGAUUGAGACUCCCACCUUGGGCUUCACACUCACUGGGGACUCUGUUUGAGAUUCUCUCCAUCGGCCCCUCCCCCCACUUGUGAUCUCUCUCUCUCAAAUAAAUAAAUACAAUCUUUUUUUUUUUAAGAUUUUAUUUAUUUAUUUGACAGAGAGAGACACCGUGAGAGAGGGAACACAAGCAGGGGGAGUGGGAGAGGGAGAAGCAGGCUUCCUGCCGAGCAGGGAGCCCGAUGCGGGGCUCGAUCCCAGGACCCCAGGAUCAUGACCUGAGCCGAAGGCAGCCGCUUAACGACUGAGCCACCCAGGCGCCCCUAAAUAAAUAAAAUCUUAAAAAAAAUAAAAAUAAAAAAUAAAAUAACUACUUCUAAAUUGCAUUUUCUAUGUUUCCACAGCCCAUCGGAAAUCAUUUUUAUUCCAAAAUUUAGUAAUGUGAAAUGUUAGUUUUUCUACUGCUUCUAUAAAAAUUAUCAAAAAUGUAGUGGUUUAACACAAUGCAAAAUUUUUGUUUUGUUUUGUUUUGUUUUGUUUUUUUACAAUGCAAAAUUUUUAUCUUAUAGUUCUGUAGGUCAGAAGUCCAGCACAGGUCUCACCAGGCUAAAAUCAAAGUUUCCUCCUUUACAUUCUUUUCUCUUGGUUCUAGGGGAGUUUCCACUUCCUUGCUCAUUCAGGUGUACAGAAUUCAAUUCCAUGUGGUUGAAGGACUGAGGCCCCAUUUUCUUCUUGGCUGUAAACUGAGGGCCACUCUUGACUUUUAGAGGCCACUAUAUUCUUUGGCUCAUGGCCCUCUUCCUCUAUCUUAAAAACCAGCAGUGGUGGGUGAAGUCUUUGUUGCUCCUAUCUCUGAUCACAGCUGGAAAAUUUCUGACUAGAUUGGGUCCACCUGGCUUACCCAAGGUAAUCUGGAUGAAUAAUCUCCCAAACUCAAUCACAUCUGCAAAUUCCCUUUUGCUAUGUGAGGCAACAUAGUUACAAGUUCCAGAGAUUAGGAUGUAGUUAUCUUUGAGGGUAAAGGUGGGGGCAUUAUUCUGCCUACCACACAUAAAGAAGCACAUGGGUGGGGGCACAGAAUAAUGCCUAGGAGAGAACUGUACCUUAUGCAUUUUUUUUUUUCAGUAAAAUCUCCUCCCAAACAUUUUCCCUAUAGAUGAUUUAUAGCUCUUCAAAUUGCAUGCUUACUGAUUUACAGUUCAUAACUAAAGCCAAUUGAAGAAAACCUUCACCAUGAAGUAUGGCUUAUUGGAAAUGUUUUCUGUUGUUAGAGGUUCUGUUGGCCUCUCCUUAUUGGGACACUGUAUCAACCAGCAUAAAGAGCCUCCUGGCUUCUGGACUUCAUGGCCUGAACUUCAGAUCCUACAAACUGCCUCAGAUGUUUAAGGUGAACUAGAGCCAGUCUCCAGAAGUACAUAGCUUGACUGGAGACUCUACUCCAAACCUUGGAGUAGCCUACCAGUGGAAUGGGCUAGUUCCAGGCUUCUCUAAGGGGCUCAAAGUUACUUUUAGGUAGCUUCCAAUGAAGAUCUGAUUUAAUCUAGAUAUUUCAAAGUCAGACUUACUGGUGGUCAUUUUUCACUUCAGUCUGGACCAUUGAUUUAUGUUCCUGGACUAUUGUAGUAACCUUCUCACUCAGCUCCCACUUCCAGUCUCUCCACUGCAAUCCCUCCUCCAUGUUAUCAGGACAGAGGAGAUUCUCAACUUUUUUAUUUGUCCUAACAUACUCGAGGAAUACAAUACAUUUCCCAUAGUAAGUGCCUCAUAAUGGUACUUCUUUUCAACACAAAGUUCUAUUAAGUUUAUAAAAGAAUCUCAGACCAUUCUGGACCCCCAAAGGUGGACCAAGUGAUUCUGCAAUCUCCCUUUUACUCACUUUUAGGGGGCAUGUGAUUAUAAUGAUAAAAAACCUUGUUAUCAUUGUUCUAACACUUAUCUGCUGCUUACUAUGUGCCAGAUAUUGUCCUAAGUACUUUAUAUAUGCUAUAACUUAUUUAAUCUUCAUAUCAACCCCUGAGGUAAGUUCUAUUGUUAAACCAGUUGUAUAGAUGAGGGAAAUGAGAUUAAGUGACUUGCUCACAGUCAUACAGCUAAUAAGUGACAGAGCUGUGAUUUGAACUCAGAUUCCGCACUUUCAACUACUAAGUCAAACUAUAUCCCAGCACCUUCUGUUUUGCUAAAACAUAAAUAUUGUCGCACUUCUACCUUUCAAAACAUUCAGUCUAAAAUGCUAGCAUAGCUUUCAAAGCUCUUGGUAAUCUACCUCUAUCCCCAAUAUUGAGCCUGUUUUGUUCUAGUAUCCAUCUCCUUCUUAAUUUUUCCUCCUUUUAUGAAUUACUGAGACAGGGAUGUUAAAACCUUCCAAUAUACCUAAAUCAAGCUAUUUUAAAAAAGAAAAAGAAGACAUUCUAGUAUCCCAUCACAUUUGCUUCCCCUCAAUAAAACAUGCAUUAAGUGGCUAUUUGAGCUAGGCUAUGUUAGGUAGAAAGAAUGUAAAGAUCCUACAAACUGUAAGGAAAUAAAGAAAUGAUUAUAAUAAAUAAGGGAGGGAAUUAACUUAUCUAGCUUUUAUGGGUCAAGCACUAUUCCAUUACACACAUUUUAUUGACCCCCUCCCCAGCACUGUAGAUAGUCCUCUCCUUGUUUGACAGAUGUAGAAACGACAGUCCACAAAGUGGUUAAUUAUUUGAACCAAGGAUAUACAGCUGGGAUAGCAGUGAUAUAACUGGGAUUCAGAGUCAGGUCUGUCUGACUCCAAAGCUCAAGGUCUCUCAACUAUGCCAGUUGUUUUCAAAUUGUUUCUUUCCUGUCAAGAGUCUUAUUAUUGAAAUGCAAAUAAGCCAAAUAGAUCAACGCUGAGAUGAAAAUAAACCAAGUAGAUAAAAGCAGAACUGCUCGGAUUAAUCAGAGUAUGAAGCCUAGAGCUCCUUCCCUCCUGAAUUCCUGGGUCUGCAGUGAAGAGGCACCACAGAACUCAAUUCGAAAACCAGUGCAUGGUACAAAGAAGCUGUUCUCUGGCUGAAUCUUUAAACGGUGUUCAAAAUGCAAUAGUGUAAGGGGUGCAACAUACUUUGGGAACAAAAAGAAAGAAACCAGGACUGAACUUUAUAAGAGAAAAGGAAUUGUCAUAGGAAAGGUUCCAUUUGAGCUGAACCUUAAGAAUGGGUGGGCAUGUGAUGUAAUGAGCUCUGGGUAUUAUAUGCAACUGAUGAAUCACUGAACUCUACCUCUGAAACUAAUAAUACACUAUGUGUUAAUUAAUUGAAUUUAAAUUUUAAAAAAGAAUAAAAAAUAUAAUGGAAAAAUAUUUUUAUAGAAAAUGAGUUAAAGUUAAAACUGUCUUUUGAAUUACUAAAAAAAAAAAAAAAAAGAAUGGCUGGGAGUUUUCCAGCAGGAGAGUGAAGUAAGGACUCUUAAGGCAGACGUAAAAGUGUAGCUACCCUAAACAUGUAGCUUGGCAUUGUCAUACUACAUUGCCUUUAACAAACAACAUGGACCCUUGCUGCCUGGACAGUGUAGUGUGGUGCAGACUAGACUGGAAGACAGGAGACUGAAUGAAACAUACCGGGCUUACUACUUCAAUGCCUCGCUUUGUCUUUUCACCUGUAGAUCAAGGGGAUUUCACGAGUAACUGUCAAAGACUCCUUCAAGCUGUAGAAACAUCAUUCUGUAGUUCAUGAACAAAAUCUUUUCCAUUAUCUUACAUACAAAUACAUGAGGAAAAACUAUAUUUUACAAGUGUCAUGGUUAAGAGCCUCCUUCCUCAAAAAGGAAAAGAAGAAUGAGAAUAGCUUCCAUGUAUAAAAUACCUAAUGUAUAAAAUAAGAUUGUCAUGUAGGCAGUUUUAGGCACAUGACUCAGAUUGUCCCAUGUAUCCUCACAACAAUUCCUUGAAGUAGAAUCAUUAUUCUGUUUUAAAAAUGAGCAAAUGGAGAUAGAAUGAAAGCCACUGCCCAGGUCAUAUGACUAAGGGCAGAGCCAGAACUCCAUCCUAAGUCUUGCUUUUCCAGCCACGCUCUUCUCCCCACUUGCAGUGUAAAACCCUCAGCUGCUUUGUGAGGAGAGCUUGGAACUGCCCUGAGAUCAACACCCGGUCCUCUUCUAUCAGUAGUUACUAAAUACGGCUAAUGAUGAAAUCUUCUGGGGACCCAAAUGUUCAUCAGUGGACCAAUGGAUAAACAAAAUGUGGUAUCUCCAUGCAAUGGGAUAUUAUUUGGCCAAUAAAGGAAUGGAGUACUAGUACAUGCUACAUCUUGGAUGGACCUUAUAAACAUUACACUAAGGGAAAGAAGCCAGUCACACAAAAUCAUAUAUUAUAUAAUUCUAUUCAUAUGAAAGUCCAGAUUAAGGAAAUCUGUAGAAUCAGAAAUGGUGUCUUAGAUCUGAAGGUGGGAUGGGGGGAAUAGUAGGAUAGUAGCUAAAGAGUAUGGGGUUCUCUGUGAGGUGAUAAAAAUGGUCUAAGAUUGACAAUGGUGAGGACUACAUAUAUGUGUGAAUAUAAUAAAAACCACUGAAUUGUAUUCUUUUUUUUUUUAAAGAUUUUAUUUAUUUAUUUGACAGAGAGAGACACAGCGAGAGAGGGAACACAAGCAAGGGGAGUGGGAGAGGGAGAAGCAGGCUCCCCGCAGAGCAGGGAGCCCGAUGCGGCACUCGAUCCCAGGACCCUGGGAUCAUGACCUGAGCUGAAGGCAGUCGCUUAACCAACUGAGCCACCCAGGCGCCCUGAAUUGUAUUCUUUAUAAGGAUGAAUUGUAUGGUAUGCAAAUUAUAUCUCCAUAAAGCUGUUUUUAAAAAUCCUCUGGGGUGUGCCUGGGUCGCUCAGUCAGUUAAGUGUUUGCCUUCAGCUCAGGUCACGAUGUCAGGGUCCUGGGAUCGAGACCUACGUUGGGCUCCCUGCUUAGUGGGGAGUCUGCUUCUCCCUUUCCCUCUGUGCUCUCUCUCCUUCUCUCUCUCAAAUAAAUAAAUAAGUAAUCUUUAAAAAAAAGUCCUCUGGGAAACAUUUAAAAAAAAAUCUGAUUCCCAACUUUUGCCUCCCCACAACCGCCAUGUCAACCUCCACCUCUUAAGAUUCCAAUUUAAUAAGCCUGAGUUGGUUCUCUGGAAAUAGGUAUUUUGUCAAAGGUGCCUUGAGUGAUUCUGAUGACAAUCUAGAUCUGAAUAUAUCACUGCUUUAGACAGCCAAACAGUAGACCUGGCUCUUUAUAACCAACAUGAUUUUCACGGUGGCUGGUGGAAGACCAAGUAGCUCAGAGUAGGUCACAGUCCCUGAAUACCAAGAUCACAAAGUUUGCUCGGGCAUUGUUGGUCUAAGAGCAAAGUAACAUUCAAUAAAAUCUGGAAGAAUGCUGUUUUACCAAAACACCCUAAUAUUCUUAUAUGGCAAGUUUGUUUUUCCUUACAAUUUUGGUGAUCCUCUUUUCUCCAAAAGUUCUUCCUCAGUCGCUUUCUUUUUUCCCUUAAGAUAGCAAUAGCAAUGUGUUUAUAAUGGAGUACUCUGUUUCUGAGGGGAGGAAGUGAAGAGUGAAAGAUUUACUUAAUAUAGAGAAAACAUAUUAAUAUCAUGAGAAAGAAGUAUAGUAAGAAGUAAUGGACAGAAGUUUAGUGUCUGAAAUUUUAUAUUUUAAUGAUAGUUUAGCUGAAUGAGCAGAAAAUACAUUUGAGGAAUUGACAGGAAAACUGGAAGGGGCUGCAAUAAAUAAGCUCCUAAUUAAUGUUUCACCAUAUUUCAUGAAUUUAAAUUUUUAGCCAGGUGCAUUUCUGGGGGGGAGGUUCUAUUCAAAUUGGGACUUUGAAAAGAAGACUACAUUUUAUUAUUCUAAAAUUACAGAUGCAUUUCAGUUUCUUUAGAAUAUGAUAUGCUUUUGCUGACUAAAUAGCAUUACCUCUUAGUAGAGGCCCAAUGCUAUAAUUUGACCCCUCUGGCAAAUUAAAUACAAUUAUGCAAACUACUAGGAUUUGGGUAUAAUCUAAUUAAUAUGGUACAUAUGAAGCAGAUAGUAAUUUCCCUGGUUGAAACUAAAUUGUCUUCUUUCACAUUUGAACUAUGUUUUAGAAAAACAUUGAUUUAUGUAAGCAAGACUUCAUUAUCUUGUGUAUUCUAUUUGCUCAGCUCCGUGAUGGACAUGUUUAGAAAAAUAAAGCCAAAAUUGGAAUCUUCAAAUGAUGACCUUUUUUCCCCCAGAUAUUUAUAAUUACCAAACAGAAUAUUACAUGGAACUAGGAAAAGAAUUCAUUUUGAGUUGAUUGCUUUUCUCUAGUGAAGUGUAAGUGGAACAUUACUAUAAUUUUUUCUCUUUGUAUAUCUAAAAUUAGGGUUAAAUAUGAUUUAAUGGAAAUAAUCCUGUUCAUUGAAACACAAAUUUUUAGGAGUUGAAAUUGAUCUGGACUAAGUGCCUACUAAUAAUCCAGUCACAAACUUUCUGAAUGAUAUUUAUAAUCAUGAGAUACAGCAUACUAUGUUUAAAAUAUGUGAAUCACAUUAGCAUUAAUCAGUACUACAUGUGUGCACUAAGCAGAAAUCAGGAAAGAUUUGCUUUUGUGCUCUUUACCAAGAAAACUAAAGAAAUUAUCCCUCCCAUUUGGAGAAAACAGAUGCUUUUUUCUUUUUCUUUUUUCUUCCUACAAAAGUGAAUUUCACGUGUAAGAGGAGUUCUGGCUUAAUAGCAUUGAAUAUGAGUCUUUUAUACAAAGGAAAUGUACAGGGUGUACCAAGGCUUCUUGUGUGGAAUUGUCAUUUCCAAGUGUGUGAACACAGUCUUUGCUCAUUUGUUCCUUAGCUUCUUGGGGAGACUGCCAACAAGCAUGCCAACUCUCAAGCUGCAUUGUGCAACGAUUUCUAGCCCACAAAGAUCUGGAUUUUUUUUCAUAGGUAAUGUCAAUGUCAUAAAGGCCCCUAAACAGCUGUUGGGGGGGAACAACUUUUAGAAAGCAGUGGCCUGUGUUAGUUCUUUGUUCUGUGUUAGCAGAGAAAUGCUCAGUUUAGUGGGUGAAGAGGAAAACAGUUCUGUUAAGAAUUCGAAUACUUUUAUAAUUUGCUUGUAAACCUGUAAUGACAAGUACAUUCCCAAGAAAUAAAGAAAUAUUAGCGGCCUCUGUGUUGUGAGUAUGUGUAAAGGAGCUAAUAAAUAAACACA